RNAcentral lists this ribosomal RNA (111 nucleotides) under Acholeplasma hippikon. The record is from RNAcentral. Lineage: Bacteria; Bacillati; Mycoplasmatota; Mollicutes; Acholeplasmatales; Acholeplasmataceae.
UGGUGACGAUGGCGAGGUGGAUCCACCUGUUCCCAUCCCGAACACAGAAGUUAAGCACCUCAGCGCCGAAGAUAGUUAAUACAAAUAGCAAAAAUAGGACGUUGCCAGGCA